This 464-nucleotide ribosomal RNA is filed under the name uncultured bacterium. Its description in RNAcentral is "partial 16S ribosomal RNA". It matches the Rfam family "Bacterial small subunit ribosomal RNA", at positions 38 to 507 of the family's 1533-position model. The record is from RNAcentral.
GGGGGGGGGGGGGGGGGGGGGUGGGGCGGGCGGGUCGAGCGGUAGGGCCCCGGGGGGCUGGGGGAGGCGGGUGGCGAACGGGUGAGUAACACGGGGUUGACCGGUCCCGCACUUCGGUAUACGCCUGGGAACCUGGGUCUAAUCGCGGACACGCCCGCACCCGGCCGGGGUGGUGGAAAGUUUUGCGGUGUGGGAUGCGCCCGCGGCCUCUCAGCGGGGUGGUGGGGUAAUGUCGUACAAAGCCGGCGACGGGUAGCCGGCCUGACAGGGUGGACGGCAACAUUGGGACUGAGACACGGACCAGACUCCUACGGGAGGCAGCAGUGGGGAAUAUUGCACAAUGGGCGGAAGCCUGAUGCAGCGACGCCGCGUGGGGGAUGACGGCCUUCGGGUUGUAAACUCCUUUCACCAUCGACGAAGGUUUUCUGACGGUAGAUGGAGAAGAAGCACCGGCUAACUACGUG